UACAUGAUAGUACCUUCUCUGAAAUAAGAAUUUCCGCAUUCAAAGUCUCUCAGUUGUCCUGUUUAUUAUAUUGACAUUGUAAAAAAAAAACCCAUUUGGAAUUUUCUGGGGUUUUGUGCAUGUUGUACCAAAUAAUUAUGCAUAAAGCAUGGCUGAGAAAGUUGGCUGUCUGCAGUAAGAAGUCUUGAUGGAGUGUAGUUGGGAAUUUUCAAAGCCGAAAAGAUAAAAACAAACUGUGACUGCGUUGCCAAAGUACUGCUCUAAAUUAUGGCUUUAUUACAUACUUAUCAGGGUUGUGUAUUCAAAAAGGAAAAUAUGCAGUCCUCCUUAUGCACACCCUCUGGUUUUAAGUAGAUCAAAGAGAUGCCAUUGUCCUUCCUAGUCCUAUUAUGCACUGCAGAAAUAUGCAAAUGCAAAUGUACUGCACUGCAGUCAGGGCUCUCAGAUGACUAUAAACAAAGGUGUGCAACACAGGUAUGCAACUGGCUAUUGAGUACCGAAACUGCUAAUGGUUUUUUAAUUCCAUCCAAGCUCUUAAUUACAUAGCUGGAUGAGUUACUAUGGUUAAUCAAGACAAUGUGUGUUAAAGGUACUUAUUAUUUUAUCAUUUUAAAUGAUCCAGAAAAUCUGAAAAAUGAAAAGUAAUAUCUACAAUACAGAACUGUACUUCUGGAUUGUACUUUAUGUAUUCAUGCAAGGACAUAAAUGUACUUGUUCUAUGCAUCUUCUAUGUUUUGAGAUUCUCAUUCUUUUUUAUUUUUAUUUUUUAAUGAUACUUUGUAUGAGGUUGGGAACAGAGGUCAUGGCACAUAAUUGAAAUCCACUGAGGGUUGCACAAUUAGCCCUUCAUAUUAUGUUAUAGUCUCAGUAUGAUUCUUUCUGCACUAUGCAGCACUGUUCUACUGGCUUUAAAGAAGGUCACAUUUCUGCAGUCUGAGAACGGAGGCGGGGGUUUUCUAGCUCAGCAAUACAGGAUUCUGAAAUCAGCCAAUCAGCAUUGAGUAAAUAGACCGCCCACACACAGCCAUUGACAAGGGAAAGACGUGGGUUUGAAAAAAAAAGAAUAAAAUCUCUUUCAUUCCUCAGACUGAAAAAAACAACAGCCUUGUAAAGUUUCAAUCUCUUCCUCCCUCUGCAGAUAGUCAAAGUUUUGGUCUGGAUCACUCUCUUAUCUGCUUUUUUGGUAUUUCAAAAGUUAUGCUGAUAAACAGGCAGUGCUAUUACCUCCCUUCGAUUGUUGCAAUACCACCAUACUCUUGCAGUCUAUAAGUCUUCUGUAAGUAAUUAAACCUGUCUGUCCACCCUGGCAAAAAUGUUUUGUCAGACAUUAUAGUUUAUUAGUUCUACAUCAGUAAAAUGUAAAUGUAAUGUGAUCGGUUGGAAUAUAGUGAUUCACAAUCUUACCGUAUCCCAAAUAAAGUUUCAUAAAAAUGACUUUGAUGGGACUUGUAUUUAAAUUGAUUAAAUUGCUGGGGGCUUACUUCAAGAGUAAAUGGUUGCUUGCUUCUGAAGCAAGAUAUCCUUGAAAGACCAAGGCACCUGUUUUGAAUGCAGACACAUAGGUCAAUAUUUUAUUCCCUUUCCCACACAAGUCAAGGCUGCAUUUCUCUUCCCCUGUAACACUGGUGUGUAUGUUUGUUUUUCGUCCAGGCAAACAUGCCCUGUGUUUCUCAAUGCUGAGUGCGUCCUCGUGAGUCAGGCGGAACACCUCACUUCUCAGACUCUAAAGUGUGUUUGCUCCUUUGCAAAGCAAAUUUACUCUGGCAUGUCAGCUAACAGGCUCACAAGACUAGGCCUGUCAACGAGACAGCCCAGCCUUUCACACCUCACUGUGUUAAGGCACAGAUCGCAUACCUGCGGUGUUCUGUUUGUGAGGUGUGGUCAAUAGUCAGAGUGCCACAAACAUUUGCACUGAUGGUCUCAUUCUCAAUUGCUCACACCACCAAACCUCCAGCUCCGGUAAUAUCCUUCCAUCACUGGUGAAAUAAUGAUGAAUGCCACCCAAUGAACCAUUCUCACCCUUCCUUCUCGUAAGUCUUGUUGACCAUGUAUUGCAUGGAAAUAAAUAGCAAUGUCACAAGUAACUGAUGUGACAUGCAGGAGAUGUGAUCUCAAGAUACAUUUUCUAGUUUCACAUAUGCUAAGAAUGGCACGAAUGUGUUGUGGAAUGGAAAAAACAUUCCCAAGCCCUUUAGAAAUUAAGUGCAUCAAAUGGGUUGUGAAUUAAAUACAUUAUUCUGUAUGGUUACUACAAUUUUUUCUUUGAUCUUUCCUAAAAAAUGUCAUAUUUAUUUGAGAUUUGUUUGUUUGUAUUCAGAAUAUGCCAGUAGUGGACAAUCCUAAGUCCUUGAGACCUAGUAUGUUUUCCUUAGCUCAACGGUAUGAGUCUUGGGUAAACAGGCAAACUUUGGAUGAGCGCUCUAUGACAGAAAAUAAGGUGUGCAAAACAUGUCAGCGGCCUUUGCUCUACCUGUGAUCUCUCUGCAUAUGUAAUCUUUAGCAGACAAGGACAUGCUACAACUCGUGCCUUCCAGUACUGGAGAUAGCAUUCCACUUCCCUGUUUAUGUCACUUUUCUGCAGGCGAACUGAACUCAAGCACAGCGUGAGGUAACAGAGCCCUGAUAAUGGAGACUUUCCCACGCAUUUCUCAGUAAAAUGAGAUGAGGGCUUUGUAAGGUUCGCUCUGGGAAAAAAAGACUGUCACCUGACACAGAAAACGUAAACAGUCACACGGUUCUCCCGUGUUGAGAUCCUUCGUGUCCAUUCACAUUAUUGCCCUUUUCCCGAGUGUUUGAAAACACAAGUGUUGUUCUUCCUCUGCGUUCCCACCCAAAAUUCCUGCUGUAAGAAAACAAUGUUGUUUUAACUUUUCACAUGGAGUUCUCUCUAUUGACCUUAGAAUCGACUCUCUUAUCCAAUACAGCGCUCUUGCCAGAUUUUGCAUGAUUUUGCAGGAUAAUGAAUUCAUGAAGACUUCAGGAAAUGAAAGUUAGUUGAAAACUACAAGUAAAGCAUAGCAUGCAGUACAAUAUCAUUCCUGAAUUUGCACUUAUAGGUGCUAUGUGUUUUUGCUUUUUUUUGCAUUAAAGACAUAGAUUUCAGAGUCAAGUGGUUCUGAGGUUCAAAGGAUUUUCUUUACAGCACCUAAUUACUAAGAGUGAAUUUCUAUCAUGCCAGACAUGUUCCAUUCAGUAGAAUGUUUCAUUCUAGAAAGCUAGAACUGUUAAUGCCAAAUAAAAAAAUGAGCAAGUAUUAAUUUUUCAGCAAACAACUUAUCACCACAAGAAUUAGUGCUCUCCAUUUCCGCAUUUCAGCCACAUAUCUGUCUGACUGCGCCAUUGCGAAUUCAUGGAACUCAUCAGACCAGCAUUGUUUUCAUACCCUCAAAACAUUCAAAUAACUUCCCCUUUAAAUGGAGAAGAGUACCAUUGAUUUAGAAUGAAGCAGCACAAGUGCAAUAUCAUGACAAAGUUCCAGUUUUUGGUUUCUACACGAGGAAACAACAUGGACCAACAGUCUUCCGUUUCAUGUCUAUUAAUUUUAUUAAAAUCAUUUGUCAUUGAGGUUGGGUUACCUAUAGAUCUAUAUAAACACCAAGUGAAAUGACAACAACAAUAUAGGCCAUGUGCAAUGUCCUAAUCCUCACUUCCUUCCACUGUAGCCGCACUGUACACCAAUAAUCAGUAUGAUUCUGUUUUGUUUAAUGGUGUUCAGAAAACCAGAGAGAUACCUGACAGAAGCCUUGAGUGCAAUAUACUCAGGAGUGACUGUGAAGCACGGAAAUUAAAUAAUAGCGAACGUCAUCUCAUUUAAUAAUGGAAAACCGAAUAUCCCGAAAGUGCAAACAGCGCUCAUAUUGAGUAUCAUAUUCCCCACUGGGCAAUGUUUCCACUGGAAAGUACCAGUAUUCUCAGGUUCUUGGUAGUCUUCCUCUGAAACUCCACCUGGUACUCUCAUGCCACAUAGCAAAUAUGAAAUACAGUAAACACAAUAAAUCAAUCCCAUUUCCUGGUUUGUUUAAGUAUUGAGUUUGAGUUACACUGUACACAAAAGCAAUACCACACCACAGAUCAUUGAAUGUUGAGGACAUAGAAAGAUUAACAAUGAAAGAUCAGUUUUUACAGUGUCAUUGAACAUUCUGAAGCAUAUUUAACCUUUGCAGAUGCACAGAGAGUCUCUCAGCUUAUAUGUCUCUCAGAACUGCUCUCAUUCCUUCUGGAAUCAGAGGCAGUGUUGUUUUUUUCUUUCUUUUUGGCCUGCUACCAGCAAACAGAGCCUCCUGACUGGCCAGUGGAUCUCUGCCUGUGUGGUAAACCUUUGGCCAGCUCCUCAUUCCCAGUCAUGUGAGCUGCACCACCCCCGCACUGCUCUGCACUGCACUCCAGUGCACUCCACAUACUGCUAGCUCCCUCCAAAUCACCUGAUCUCCUUAUGGGCAUCUACAGUCUACAUGAACAACAGAAGGCUGGAGGAACAUACUCACACAGCCAGAAUACUGGAUAUGACGUGAGACAUGACUCAUUCAUUCCUCUAGCCUCCCAGCAGGAAAGUCAAUGUAUCACCCUUGCACUUAUUUACCUGUUGUGUUGAUAAAGAAUGGUCUGUUUUAAAUGAUAGAUACAUAAUAUCUUUUUCAUCAUCAAUUAAAGCAGUUCUGCAAAGAAAAGUAGGCUAAAAUUCCUCCUCAGCAUAAGACUGAUAUCAAAUUACAGGAAGCAUUUGGUUGCAGCUAUUGCUGCAAAUGGUGCAGAACACACUGAGCUGGCCUACAGAUAGCCAGUGUCUGCGGUAUGUGCUCCUCUGUCUAAACGAGAUUACCGCGGGCUUGGUUGAGACUUUGAGGUGCUUGACUAUUCAGAGCAUGAAGUUAUUACAAAGGACUAAACGUCAAAAAACCUGUUUAUACGCCUCAUACUUGUGUGCUCUGUGAUGUGACAAUUUAAGCAUUGUAUUUAACUUACUUGUGACAUUUCAGAAUGUGUUUUUCCAGGAAAAAGAAAUAAAGGGUAAAUUGAAGCUAAAAUGGAAGGCAACUGGGUUCUUAUCAGCUGAAGUAGGACGCACAUGAAAGGUCUUGCCACAUACCAGAAGAAGGGAACAUUCCUUUUCUGUUUGUUUUAUCGCUAUGAUAUCAAGUCUCGCCCAACAUUUAAUCUUACAAGCACAUACUCUGUUUCUUAGUAGCAUUUAAAAAACAAAACAAACUAAUCACGUGGUUAUCUUGAUUGAUGUACGCGUGGAAUGUGAAACCUUCACAACUUUCUAUUAAAAGUUUGUUUGGUGCAGUGUACUUAAAGAAUAAAAUCAAAUAUAUUUGUUGUGCACAGUGGGAUUUAUAUUAUUUAAUAAUAUUUAACUGACGUACUUAUACCUAAAACAUCUCAGGUGUCCAAAUCAUAUCAUCACAGCAUUCCAGUUGGUCUCUAGGAUGGUGAAAUUCUGAGCAAUAUUUUAUCACUGUCGUCCAGUUUUGUUUUGUGAAUGGCUUCUUGUAAAGUUAUUUUAAACUUUGCAUACUGCAAUAAUUUAUUAAGAACAAUUUCUGAGAGUGCAUGUUUGUUAUAUACCUCACAAUCUACAAAGAGCCAUGGCUAUGCACAUUUUUGCCUUUUCUUUACAACUAUGACAUGGCUGGGUCUCAGUAAUGUUCUCUGUGUAACGUGAUAAACUGCCUCAUUUCAUAUGCAUGGGGACAGUGUUGCUGGACCACCACAGAUUUCAUGGCUACUUUGUGGUUUGAAUCUACAACCACACAUGUAUGGUUAUGUAACUUGCUAAUCCACAUAUAAACUGAAACCUUCAUGUCAGUUUUUUAAAAUUAAUAAUAUUUAAAUAUUAACAUGUUAACAUGUAUAAGAUGCAAUGUGUGUUUCUGUGAAUGUGUUCAUGUGAGUGUGCGUGUGUACUGGCUGUAGCAGGAUGCAGACUGACCUGGACUAUUUGUGUCAGCAAGCUGGGUCAGGCACAUUCUGUACGGAGCAUCCAGCCUGGACUGAGACAUGUCCUAACUUGCAGACAGGGCUUACAUAAGCAGACGAUGCAACCGAGUGUAAUACUUCACAAGGUGAUGCUGAAAUGACAGGGCAGGUACUGCGCUGUAUCUUUUCUGGACAUAACAAAGCAAUCCAGCCAAGUAUGAACUUGCCACAUCACUGUUAUUUAUGGAAAGAAUCACGGGUAUUAGACAGCAUGGCCUACUUACUGGACACCCGUGUCUGUUAAAAGCAGCAGUAAUUGUUGCUAAGAAGCUUUAUGUAACCACCAGAGUUUAACCACCAUUUGAUGAGUCAGAGGGAACCUCUUUCUUUACCAUCUCGGUAACCACAUGUACUGUAGGUUAUACCAAAGCAGAAAAGGGAAUAACAUAACGACAGAGGAGUGGUUACUGUUGUCAUUGGUGACAUCAUUUUUAGAGGUUUUUUUUUUCUUUUUUCAGAAAUAUAGAUUCUUACACUGUCAGCAGUAAGAAGAAAAGGAUUAACAUGGUAAGGGAGUAAAAAGAAAGGAUUAAUAUAAUGCUGUAAUAGAGGUAUGGAGUUUGAGUUAUGUUCAAUUGCCCCUUGCUAUUUAUAUAUUAGGAAUGCAUGAUAUAUUAGGUAAUAUGAAUAUCAAGGGACAAUGAGCAGCUAGACAUAUAAGCUAUAAAUGCAAAAUUUGAAAUAUUAUUUUUACAAUAUACAGAACCUUUGUGAUGAUAUAGUAAACAAUGUUUCCAUCACAAGCCAAUUAAAAUGUAAUAUUUCUCAAAAUUACCUAAAUUAGGUUUGCUCAUUAAUCAAUUUAUCGUGACAUGACAUUUUUAAAUGACUUUUGUACACAAAUUCAUAUUAAUAUAAACAGAAAUUGAAGGAGAUAUCAGUGAUAUGCUUAGAAAAUAUGUACCACAACAUUCAAGGAUGACAAUAUAAUUUAAAUAUAUUCCUUUUCAGAAUGUCAAUGUGUGUACAAUACUUCACUGUACAAUAGCUUAUAUUCCUUGCUUCAAAAUCACAGUGGUGUGCAUUGUUGGGGAUUCAGCCAUUCUCUCGAAUGGCCUGUGCUCUGUCUUCACAAGAAAAUCUCCUUGGUGUAAGCUUACUUGACGUGUUCUUAAACUGAGCUAGCCAUGGGCUAGACAAAUAGUAAACAAUAAAGCUAGGGAUUUUAAUCACGCCUGAAAAAUCCUUUACAAAUGGGAUCUACCCAAUUUCAUCACAGUUCACUCCCACACUACUGAGAAAUAUUACCUUUAACAUAUACAAAUUGCAUCUCUUAUCAUGACAGUACUAUCUAGAACAAAACUUUCUGUUCUGUUCUGUUCUGUUCUGUUUUGUUCUGUAUCAAGUAGCAGUUCACAGGAUGGUCUGCAGACAGGAAUGCAAUUUUGGGGGCUCUCUGGAAAAGCAAUGUUCACCUCCCACAAUUUUUUUUUAACCUCUGUCUGCUUUUCUCCCUUUUUUCUCCUUCACUCUUUGUCAUCGCAGAUAUUUUUCAUUUUCACUUUUGUUCUUCGUUCCUACACUUCUCUUUUGUUUUGUCAUCCUUUCAAGCUUUUGUGCGCCUCGGUGCUUUGUGCUCACAUGCCCACUUCAGGGGAGUUCUCUUUCCCAUUGCGCAUUCCUGCACAUUCUUGUUAUUGUUGUCAGAUCUUUAAUCUCUAUUCCUUUCAUCCUGUAUUCCUUUCGCCAGCUUCUGUAUCACUACUCGUUUGCUUAAAUAAAAAAACCUUACUAAUAUUUUAUUUUCAUUUUGUUUUUAAAUGUUUGAUUGCAUUCUGUCACUUUAUUCACUCCCAAAUUGUUCUAGGAUGAAUUUAAUACCCUUGAUUCUUCAGAGCUUUCAUUUUUGUUCCUUCUCUCAUUUUUAUUUACUGGUCCUCUCCCAGUGAUUCUUUCCUCUGUAAUGCCUGCAGUUGUUCUUUUCUUCCCUCCUCACCCUCUACAUCUCUUCCCUUUUUCUUUCCUCCUUUCCAUGCAUACUCACACACCUUCACAUUUCAUCCUCAUUCUUUCUCGUCCACCCCUCUGGCCUAAUAGCCCCUGAUGUGUGGUCUGAAUACCAGGUCUGAACCCCCUGAAAGUACAGCCCACUCUAUCAGCACAAGGCUCAGAUCCUUGAUGUUUUUGCAUUCCUGGCCCAUUAAGUCAGUGGGAGCAGCAGGGGGAAACGUGGUAUUUGCUUCCUUUUUCUCAGUGGUGUCUUCGUGUGGAGGACCCCUGUCACAUGACCCUAGGAGCCUUGAAAAACAGACGCUCACCAGCUGGUUUCUUACAAGCAAACGUACUAUCAGAUCAUGAGUCACAAUGAAACAAGCUGAGGCGCGUCGGCGUGUCACCUUCCUGUGACUUGGAAUGUGCCAACCCAUUCUGAAGCAAGUCUGAACCGAAAAUUCAAACUUCUGGGGAAUUUCCAGAAGUCAUCAUGCAUGUAGUUCAUUUUGUGUGGGAGAAACUUAAUCCCAGUCCUGAUUUAAAUGCCAUCAAACCAGUUUUAACAGAAUUGGUUGUGUUUUUGAAUCAGGAAGUUCUAUUUUUCGUAAAAUGAAAAGAACAGAAAAAUGUUUUACUUUCGUAUGAGUGCAUUUCUGACGAGAAUACUUUUGAAGAAAUUGAGCGAAAGAUGUUAUAUUUCAUUACUCUUUCCUUGCCAUAUUUCAUUACUUCUCAAACUAGCUUCCACACAGAGAGGUGUGAAUAAUGCCAUGUAAAACUGAAAUUCCCAAAAACUUUGCUCCCACGCUAUGUUAACAGAUGGCUGGUACUGUAGAGGCAAAGGAAAAUACGCACCUGAUACUUGUGAAGGGAUACAAUGUUAGGGAUAAAUGUUUUUGAUGGCUGUACACAAACACAUUCUACAGUCAGGUAGACCUGAAUGUGACCAUUGAGAGUGUACAAUAGCCACAGAUGGGAGACAUGAAGUAAAAUAAAGAUAAAGAGAUGGGCUAUGAGUCACAGGUUUCUGUUUCAGAUUGUGUGUGGGCGUGUGCGUGUGUGUAUUUGCGUAUUUUGACAUUCUAACUUCCUACAUCUGGUUGUAAAUUAGGGGGGAAACCUGCUUGUGUGUAAGUGUUUAAUGUUUGUCAAAGAAGAGCGCAGCUUUUCUGUCAACACUAUUGCCACCCCUGAAUCUAUUCUACAUUGUAUUAUGCUCCGUUAAUAAACUUCAUUCCUUCUGACAAAGGCCCUUUAUGCAUUGUGAGCUGAAGAAGAAAACACCCAACCAAUGUGACAAGUAGCACCUCUGAGUACAUCUAGUGGUCAUAUCGGCAGCUGCACUCAAACUGGGAAGGUCCCUUCUGUGAUGUAUGAAAAUUGUCAGGGAAAUCUGUUACAUUGUGAUGUACAUCCCUAGCAUCAGAAUAACAUCAUGUAUGUUGCCUUUGAACAUUUGCAAUAUAUACGAUUUCCAUGUGUUUCCUAUGAUCUACAUUACUUGGAUUGCUUCUACCUAUCAUUGGCAUAGCUUCAGUUUCACCUUCUUAUGGAUAUAUAAGCAUACAUGCCAUAUUAGCCCUUGCAAAUGCUGCCAAUGUUUGUCCAGUGUUGGGGUGGAGAAGCAUCUGGUGAGUAUUGGGGGAAGGAAGUUGGGAUUUGCACCCCAUUGCCUUGUACCACACUUGGUACAGUAUAUACCCUCGGGACAGGGGCGAUGUCUCACUUCUGUUUCUAUGAGUCAUGUUCGGGUCAUGAGUCACAGCAAUUAGUCAUGCAUUUGCACACUGAAUUCUUUCAAAACAAGGGAAUUCUUGAUAUAAAUCAAAGGAAAACCUUUUUAUUAGGAACUGAAGUGCUGUAUGGAGAUUAAAUAAAAAGGCUGUGCUUCCAUCUUGUGGCAGAAUAUUGCAACAAACACUAUGCAAUUUCCUCCGCUAUGUAUUGUACACAGCUUCAUCAUAACAAACUUGAAAUCUCUCCAGCAAUACCCAAUUCAUUUACCCAAUUGAUGAUUAAUUUUCCUGUCCUGACCAAUUAAGUAAGUUCUCACUUUUGGAGGGUCAGUACAAAUGUGCAUCAUGACUUGGAGGAGUGACUAAUGCAGAGGAGGAGCAGCCAGUCACCCCGUGGAUUCUAUAUAAUCACUGAUUAAUGAUCUUCCACCAGUAUCAAAAGGAAAUAUCGGUUGGACCUUUUAUAUAUUUUUUAAAGUUUUUUUUUAUUUAUUUUUUACAGAUUUAUAUGCAUAUAGUUUUUAUCACAGACAAACAAACAUGACAUUUUUAGCCUAUUCUUCUUCUUCUACUUCUUAUAGUUUCAUUAUUAUUGCCCUACUAUUCAUAAGUUGCAUACUGUAGUUUACGUCCAUGACUGCUAUAGCAAUGAUUGAUGAGUGAUGCAUAGAAAAUGUUUGGGACAUAUAUGACAAGGACAGCCUGUUCAAAGUUGUUACAAGCAUCUUGGGUCUUCUCAUUAAAAAUAAUUGUGUGACA
Long non-coding RNA from Anguilla rostrata (American eel), 10406 nucleotides. RefSeq lists it as uncharacterized. NCBI's taxonomy places the organism in Eukaryota, Metazoa, Chordata, Actinopteri, Anguilliformes, Anguillidae. The record is from RefSeq and is a predicted model, not a curated record. The transcript is spliced from 2 exons.